GACGAACGCUGGCGGCGUGCUUAACACAUGCAAGUCGAGCGGUAAGGCCCUUUCGGGGGUACACGAGCGGCGAACGGGUGAGUAACACGUGGGUGACCUGCCCUUAGCUCUGGGAUAAGCCUGGGAAACUGGGUCUAAUACCGGAUAUGACUCCAUGACGCAUGUUGUGGGGUGGAAAGCCUUGUGCGGCUGGAGAUGGGCCCGCGGCCUAUCAGCUUGUUGGUGGGGUGAUGGCCACCAAGGCGACGACGGGUAGCCGGCCUGAGAGGGCGACCGGCCACACUGGGACUGAGACACGGCCCAGACUCCUACGGGAGGCAGCAGUGGGGAAUCUUGCGCAAUGGGCGAAAGCCUGACGCAGCGACGCCGCGUGAGGGAUGACGGCCUCGGUU
RNAcentral lists this ribosomal RNA (392 nucleotides) under uncultured bacterium. RNAcentral's name for it is "bacterial SSU rRNA". It matches the Rfam family "Bacterial small subunit ribosomal RNA", at positions 28 to 424 of the family's 1533-position model. The record is from RNAcentral.